RNAcentral lists this transfer RNA (65 nucleotides) under Drosophila navojoa. RNAcentral's name for it is "tRNA-Leu". Lineage: Eukaryota; Metazoa; Arthropoda; Insecta; Diptera; Drosophilidae. The record is from RNAcentral.
GCUAUUUUGGCAGAUUAGUGCAAUAAAUUUAGAAUUUAUCUAUGUAAUAUUAUUUACAAAUAGUA